UCCCCGGUAGCUCAAUUGGUAGAGCGGCGGACUGUUAAUCCGUAGGUUGUUGGUUCGAGUCCAACCCGGGGAG
RNAcentral lists this transfer RNA (73 nucleotides) under Gaiellaceae bacterium. RNAcentral describes it as "tRNA-Asn". It matches the Rfam family "tRNA". Rfam says of the family: Transfer RNA (tRNA) molecules are approximately 80 nucleotides in length. Lineage: Bacteria; Bacillati; Actinomycetota; Thermoleophilia; Gaiellales; Gaiellaceae. The record is from RNAcentral. RNAcentral also lists the same sequence under 1 other name.